GUGGGGAAUCUUCCGCAAUGGACGAAAGUCUGACGGAGCAACGCCGCGUGAGUGAUGAAGGUCUUCGGAUUGUAAAGCUCUGUUAAUCGGGACGAAAGAGCCUAGUGUGAAUAAUGCUAGGAAGUGACGGUACCGGAAUAGAAAGCCACGGCUAACUACGUGCCAGCAGCCGCGGUAAUACGUAGGUGGCAAGCGUAGUCCGGAAUUAUUGGGCGUAAAGCGCGCGCAGGCGGCUCUGCCAGUCUGUCUUAAAAGUUCGGGGCUUAACCCCGUGAUGGGAUAGAAACUACAGAUCUAGAGUAUCGGAGAGGAAAGUGGAAUUCCUAGUGUAGCGGUGAAAUGCGUAGAUAUUAGGAAGAACACCAGUGGCGAAGGCGACUUUCUGGACUGUAACUGACGCUGAGGCUCGAAAGCCAGGGGAGCGAACGGGAUUAGAAACCCCAGUAGUCC
Molecule: ribosomal RNA, 450 nt
Filed under: uncultured bacterium
Lineage: Bacteria
Description: partial 16S ribosomal RNA
Rfam family: Bacterial small subunit ribosomal RNA
Source: RNAcentral